This 200-nucleotide long non-coding RNA is filed under the name Hordeum vulgare. Its description in RNAcentral is "long non-coding RNA (HVUL_LNC019200)". Lineage: Eukaryota; Viridiplantae; Streptophyta; Magnoliopsida; Poales; Poaceae. The record is from RNAcentral.
UCCAGCUUAGGAAACUAGGAUGCGUCAUGCAAUUAAUCGAGGAGUUAUUCAAUCACUAGGACUGGAUAUUUCCUAACAACUAUAAUGGCGUUGAGCUGCCUGUAGUCAAUGCAAAGGCACCAGGUACCUUCUUUUUUUUUACCAAAAUGACUGGAGAUGAAAAGGGGCUGGUACUCCACUGGAUAACCCCUCAUUGCAGC